GUCCACGCCGUAACGAUGGAUACUAGCUGUUGGGGCAACUUCAGUGGCUAAGCGAAAGUGAUAAGUAUCCCACCUGGGGAGUACGGGCGCAAGCCUGAAACUCAAAGGAAUUGACGGGGCCCGCACAAGCGGUGGAGCAUGUGGUUUAAUUCGAUGAUACGCGAGGAACCUUACCAAGGCUUAAAUGUAGACUGACCGGUUUGGAAACAGACCUUUCGCAAGACAGUUUACAAGGUGCUGCAUGGUUGUCGU
Molecule: ribosomal RNA, 252 nt
Filed under: uncultured bacterium
Lineage: Bacteria
Description: partial 16S ribosomal RNA
Rfam family: Bacterial small subunit ribosomal RNA
Source: RNAcentral